Pangasius djambal is the source of this 73-nucleotide non-coding RNA. NCBI's taxonomy places the organism in Eukaryota, Metazoa, Chordata, Actinopteri, Siluriformes, Pangasiidae. The record is from the annotation of a GenBank genome assembly.
GCCUUGUUAGUGCAGUAGGUAGUGUGUUAAUCUCAUAACCUGAAGGUUGUGAAUUUGAUCCUUGCAUGGGGCA